This 253-nucleotide ribosomal RNA is filed under the name uncultured bacterium. Its description in RNAcentral is "partial 16S ribosomal RNA". It matches the Rfam family "Bacterial small subunit ribosomal RNA", at positions 524 to 776 of the family's 1533-position model. The record is from RNAcentral.
UACGUAGGGUGCGAGCGUUGUCCGGAAUUAUUGGGCGUAAAGGGCUCGUAGGCGGUUUGUCGCGUCGGGAGUGAAAACCAGGUGCUUAACACCUGGCUUGCUUUCGAUACGGGCAGACUAGAGGUAUUCAGGGGAGAACGGAAUUCCUGGUGUAGCGGUGAAAUGCGCAGAUAUCAGGAGGAACACCAAUUGCGAAGGCAGCUCGCUGGAACGUAACUGACGCUGAGACGCGAAAGCGUGGGGAGCAAACAGG